AGUCUCUCUCCUGGCAUCCUUAGCUCCUGAGAAGGUAUUUUCAUGCAUGGAUAGUUGUUCAAGUUAAUAUUCCAUGGAAGAAGCACUGGAAUACUGACAUCUUGCUGACACCCCAGUAAAGAGAAUAUUUAAUUCACUUGGCCUCAAAGGAUUUUUAAGAGAGCUGGUGUUCAGCCCCUGCCUCUGAAAAACUGGCUGUGAAGGAGCAAAUAAAGAGACCCAGAGACCAGGAGCAGCAUUUCCAACCAAGUCCAGCAAGGAGCAGCAGAGUGUC
Molecule: long non-coding RNA, 274 nt
Organism: Fukomys damarensis (Damara mole-rat)
Lineage: Eukaryota; Metazoa; Chordata; Mammalia; Rodentia; Bathyergidae
Exons: 3
Source: RefSeq, a predicted model, not a curated record